UACGUAGGUGGCGAGCGUUAUCCGGAAUUACUGGGUGUAAAGGGUGUGUAGGCGGGGUAGCAAGUCAGACGUGAAAUUCAGAGGCUCAACCUCUGGACUGCGUUUGAAACUGUUACUCUUGAGUGUUGGAGGGGUAAACGGAAUUCCUGGUGUAGUAGUGAAAUGCGUAGAUAUCAGGAGGAACACCGGUGGCGAAGGCGGUUUACUGGACAACAACUGACGCUGAGACACGAAAGCGUGGGGAG
RNAcentral lists this ribosomal RNA (245 nucleotides) under uncultured Eubacteriales bacterium. RNAcentral's name for it is "uncultured Clostridiales bacterium partial 16S ribosomal RNA". It matches the Rfam family "Bacterial small subunit ribosomal RNA", at positions 524 to 768 of the family's 1533-position model. Lineage: Bacteria; Bacillati; Bacillota; Clostridia; Eubacteriales. The record is from RNAcentral.